Molecule: ribosomal RNA, 603 nt
Filed under: uncultured fungus
Lineage: Eukaryota; Fungi
Description: eukaryotic LSU rRNA
Rfam family: Eukaryotic large subunit ribosomal RNA
Source: RNAcentral
ACCCGCUGAACUUAAGCAUAUCAAUAAGCGGAGGAAAAGAAACCAACAGGGAUUGCCCUAGUAACGGCGAGUGAAGCGGCAACAGCUCAAAUUUGAAAUCUGGCUCUUUUAGAGUCCGAGUUGUAAUUUGCAGAGGGCGCUUUGGCUUUGGCAGCGGUCCAAGUUCCUUGGAACAGGACGUCACAGAGGGUGAGAAUCCCGUACGUGGUCGCUGGCUAUUGCCGUGUAAAGCCCCUUCGACGAGUCGAGUUGUUUGGGAAUGCAGCUCUAAAUGGGAGGUACAUUUCUUCUAAAGCUAAAUAUUGGCCAGAGACCGAUAGCGCACAAGUAGAGUGAUCGAAAGAUGAAAAGCACUUUGGAAAGAGAGUCAAACAGCACGUGAAAUUGUUGAAAGGGAAGCGCUUGCAGCCAGACUUGCUUACAGUUGCUCAUCCGGGCUUUUGCCCGGUGCACUCUUCUGUAGGCAGGCCAGCAUCAGUUCGGGCGGUAGGAUAAAGGUCUCUGUCACGUACCUCUCUUCGGGGAGGCCUUAUAGGGGAGACGACAUACUACCAGCCUGGACUGAGGUCCGCGCAUCUGCUAGGAUGCUGGCGUAAUGGCUGU